Molecule: RNA transcript, 2497 nt
Organism: Myotis myotis
Lineage: Eukaryota; Metazoa; Chordata; Mammalia; Chiroptera; Vespertilionidae
Gene: SHMT1
Gene name: serine hydroxymethyltransferase 1
Exons: 11
Source: RefSeq, a predicted model, not a curated record
GUCGCGCGGACGGCAGCGUGGGCCGUCGGUCCCGGCAGGUGGGCAGCUUCGGGCGGGCCUCUGACCCGGCGCUCGCGGCGCGCUCGGCUGUGCGCGUCUCCUGGCUCCCCAGCCCCACGUGCUCUGCAGGCCGCGCAGGCAACUUUGAACCAGUGCAAUGGCGACUGCGGUGAGCAGGGCUCCCAAGAAUGCUGACCUGUGGUCCUCGCAUGACAAAAUGCUGGCGCAGCCCCUGAAAGACAGCGACAUCGAGGUUUACAACAUCAUUAAGAAGGAGAGUAACCGGCAGAGGGUUGGACUAGAGCUGAUCGCCUCAGAGAAUUUCGCCAGCCGAGCAGUUUUGGAGGCCCUGGGCUCCUGCUUAAAUAACAAGUACUCUGAGGGGUACCCUGGCCAGAGGUAUUACGGCGGGACUGAGUUUGUUGAUGAGCUGGAGACCCUCUGUCAGAAGCGAGCGCUGCAGGUCUACGGUCUGGACCCCCAGUGCUGGGGGGUCAACGUCCAGCCCUACUCGGGCUCCCCUGCCAACUUCGCAGUGUACACCGCCCUGGUGGAACCCCACGGGCGCAUCAUGGGCCUGGACCUGCCCGACGGAGGCCACCUGACCCACGGGUUCAUGACGGACAAGAAGAAAAUCUCUGCUACAUCCAUCUUUUUUGAAUCUAUGCCCUAUAAGGUGAACCCCGACACUGGCUACAUCAACUACGACCAGCUGGAGGAAAACGCCCGCCUCUUCCACCCGAAGCUCAUUAUCGCAGGAACCAGCUGCUACUCCCGAAACCUGGACUACGCUCGAUUGCGGAAGAUUGCCGAUGACAACGGGGCGUAUCUCAUGGCCGACAUGGCGCACAUCAGCGGGCUGGUGGCGGCUGGCGUGGUGCCCUCCCCCUUCGAGCACUGCCACGUGGUGUCCACCACCACCCACAAGACCCUGCGAGGCUGCCGCGCGGGCAUGAUCUUCUACAGGCGAGGAGUGCGCAGCACGGACCCCAAAACCGGCAAAGAGAUUCUGUACAACCUGGAGUCGCUCAUCAACUCUGCUGUGUUCCCAGGGCUGCAGGGCGGGCCCCACAACCACGCCAUUGCUGCCGCAGGAUUGAACACAGGCCUGCACCCUCACCUAGAAUCUGACCUGAAAGGGCUGCAUGAUUUGGCAUCAACGCCCAGCUUUAAGCAGCAUUUUCAUCUAUGGAGCGGAGAGGACCGCCUGCGAACUCUGCCUCACUUAGAACAGCUCUCCUGUGCAAGCUUACCCGCACCAAACUCCCCCGCCUGGGAGAAAGGCUGCCUCAGAAGCACAUCCUCAAACAGAAGAUGUCUGGCCGCGUGGCCAGGUCACUGCAGGGGGUGGCCGUGGCUCUGAAGCAGGCCAUGACUCCAGAGUUCCGGGUGUACCAGCAGCAGGUGGUGGCCAACUGCAGGGCGCUGGCUGAGGCCCUGACGGAGCUGGGCUACAAAAUAGUAACAGGCACCCCCUCAGCCCUGCUGCUCAGAGCCUCCAGUGAGUCCCGCACUUCCUGAGCUCCUGGCCUGUCCUCGCCCCUCAUUCACUCUGCUCUGAAGACUGAAGCCGGUCAUGGUCACUGAUGGCAGCCAGCAUGUCUGGUACCAACCUGCCUGGCGCUGGCCAAGCACGAUUCACAGGCCUUCAUUUCAGCCUCACGACAGCCUUGCAUGUUGUUGGUCUUAGGUUACAGAUGGGCAUCUGAGGUUCCACAAUGCUGAGCUGCCUGCCUAAAGCCACGGCCAGAAAGUGGGAGGCUGUGGGGACUGUGCCUUAAGCUUUGGGCUGUAAGGUCCAGAGGUAAGCGCUGACUUGGUUUGUGGCAUCUUUGAAGUCACAGCUGUUGCUCAAGUCAGUGACUUGGUACUAAUGAGAGUUCAAAGUGGAAAGAUCCGGGUACUGUACUUGGAAGACUUCUGGGCGCUUGGGCCAGUUGCAGAAUGUUCUUGUCGCCUCGCCAUUUUCAUCUGCACCACUCUGCUACGAUCCCCUUCGCAGGAGUAGAGAUCAGAUAUGACAGCCAGUAGUGCUGGCACCCAACACGUGCUCAGCAGCGGGAGCGGGUACCCGCUGUCCUGUAAACGGGACCACCCCCUGCUGCCUCGCAGGGAGCUGGAAGAUUGGCUUCAGAGAUGGGCAGGGACUGCCCAGUGAUGUGUCAGAGAAGGCGGAAUCCUGAGCAGCACUGAGCGAGCGGCCCUCCCAGGCAGCCGAGACCCUUGCCGGGCAGCCGGUGGCUGGGUCUUUGCAGUGGGCAGGCUGGCCAUUCUCCCCUCAGCCUCAGCCGCUGUGUCGCCGAGCACCCUACACCACUCGGUCCUUUCUGUUCAGCUCUCGGGUCCUGAGCGUCUUUCCUUGAGGCGAGUGAAGCCUUCCAGGACACGUGGUGGGGCUCCCUGUCCUGCCCCAUCUGCUUCAGCCCCGUCCUCCCAGCCCAUUCUUAGGAGAAAUUCCUCCACUCGCAUGGAGUCACCAUCUGCAUCCUUACAUGUC